This 568-nucleotide ribosomal RNA is filed under the name uncultured fungus. Its description in RNAcentral is "eukaryotic LSU rRNA". The stretch from base 168 to 321 matches the Rfam family "5.8S ribosomal RNA". The record is from RNAcentral. Lineage: Eukaryota; Fungi.
GCUGUCGCUGACCUUCAAGGGUCGUGCACGCCCGAGCCCUCUCUCAAUCCAUCUCACCCUUUGUGCAUCACCGCGUGGGUCCCCCCCUUUGCGGGAGGGCUCGCGUUUUCACAUAAAACUCGAUACAGUGUAGAAUGUUCAUUUUUGCGGUCACACGCAAUCAAUACAACUUUCAACAACGGAUCUCUUGGCUCUCGCAUCGAUGAAGAACGCAGCGAAAUGCGAUACGUAAUGUGAAUUGCAGAAUUCAGUGAAUCAUCGAAUCUUUGAACGCACCUUGCGCCCCUUGGCAUUCCGAGGGGCACACCCGUUUGAGUGUCGUGAAAUCUUCAAAACCCUUCUCUUUGAAAAGGAUUUUUGGACUUGGAGGUUUAAUGCUCGCUUUUUGCAUCAUGAAAGCGAGCUCCUCUCAAAAGAAUCAGUGGGGUCUGCUUUGCUGGUCCUUGACGUGAUAAGAUGUUUCUACGUUUUGGAUUUGGCAUGGUCCUCUGCUCCUAAUCGUCUCAUGGACAACGAUGGUGCUUCGGUCGCCGCCAACCACAAUUGGCGGAAGGCUGGACCCACACCA